AGGACGAACGCUGGCGGCGUGCUUAACACAUGCAAGUCGAACGGAAAGGCCCCUUCGGGGGUACUCGAGUGGCGAACGGGUGAGUAACACGUGGGCAACCUGCCCUCAGCUUCGGGAUAACACUUGGAAACAGGUGCUAAUACCGGAUAAUAACUUGUCAUCGCAUGGUGGUGGGUUCAAAGUUUUUCGGCUGAGGAUGGGCCCGCGGCCUAUCAGCUUGUUGGUGGGGUAAUGGCCUACCAAGGCGACGACGGGUA
This 257-nucleotide ribosomal RNA is filed under the name uncultured bacterium. Its description in RNAcentral is "partial small subunit ribosomal RNA". It matches the Rfam family "Bacterial small subunit ribosomal RNA", at positions 26 to 285 of the family's 1533-position model. The record is from RNAcentral.